Molecule: long non-coding RNA, 225 nt
Organism: Stylophora pistillata
Lineage: Eukaryota; Metazoa; Cnidaria; Anthozoa; Scleractinia; Pocilloporidae
Source: RefSeq, a predicted model, not a curated record
GUGAAAGAGGUGAUCAGUGUGCAACUGAAACUGAAAAUGGCAGAACUGAUUCACCAAAUGGGAAGGUGGUGGAAGAAAAACAAAAUGUUGGAGGUUCCACAUUUGGUAGUAAAAGAAGUGACUUGUGGUCUUAUUUGAGAUCAUGGCUUCCAUUUUGGGAUAAUUCUAACAGUGGGAUUGGCAGCUAUGACAUAACCAUUGAACCAGCAAUGAUACCUUUGGAGG